Molecule: ribosomal RNA, 253 nt
Filed under: uncultured bacterium
Lineage: Bacteria
Description: partial 16S ribosomal RNA
Rfam family: Bacterial small subunit ribosomal RNA
Source: RNAcentral
UACGAAGGGGGCUAGCGUUGUUCGGAAUUACUGGGCGUAAGGCGCGCGCAGGCGGUCUUCCAAGUCAGUGGUGAAAGCCCGGAGCUCAACUCCGGAACUGCCAUUGAAACUGUUGGACUUGAGUACGAGAGAGGUGAGUGGAAUUCCCAGUGUAGAGGUGAAAUUCGUAGAUAUUGGGAAGAACACCGGUGGCGAAGGCGGCUCACUGGCUCGUAACUGACGCUCAGGCGCGACAGCGUGGGGAUCAAACAGG